RNAcentral lists this ribosomal RNA (414 nucleotides) under Onchocerca dukei. RNAcentral describes it as "partial 12S ribosomal RNA". Lineage: Eukaryota; Metazoa; Nematoda; Chromadorea; Rhabditida; Onchocercidae. The record is from RNAcentral.
GUUGGGAUGCUGUGAGUUUUAGUUUGCUUUUAUGUUAUUUUUUGUAAAAUAUUUUGAUUUUUUUUAGUUUCUUGUGGUAUCAAAAAUUUGUUUUUUGAACUGGAUUAGUACCCAGGUAAUCAAAAUUUAAUAAUUCGGGAGUAAAGUUUUAUUUAAACCGAAAAAAUAUUGACUGACUUUAGAUUUUUCUUUGGAAUAUGUGAUUUGCUGGAGAGCCCUCUUUUUUGGUGAAUUUUGUUGGCACAUGUAUGAUUGUUUAGUUUUUAUUUUAUUUUGUAAUGCUUUAUUGUUUUGGCAUUAAAAACAGAUAUAUAUUUGGCUUAUGAAUUUAUGUUUCAUGUGUUACUAUUAUAAAUUUUUUUUGGAUUAGUUUUUUAUUUUUUUUUGAAAUUGGAAAAGAAAGUAAUUUUUUCU